RNAcentral lists this ribosomal RNA (253 nucleotides) under uncultured bacterium. RNAcentral describes it as "partial 16S ribosomal RNA". It matches the Rfam family "Bacterial small subunit ribosomal RNA", at positions 524 to 776 of the family's 1533-position model. The record is from RNAcentral.
GACGAACCGUGCGAACGUUGUUCGGAAUUACUGGGCGUAAAGGGCGCGUAGGCGGCCGCCUAAGUCAGACGUGAAAUCCCCAGGCUUAACUUGGGAACUGCGUCUGAUACUGGGUGGCUUGAGUUCGGGAGAGGAAUGUGGAAUUCCAGGUGUAGCGGUGAAAUGCGUAGAUAUCUGGAGGAACACCGGUGGCGAAGGCGGCAUUCUGGACCGAAACUGACGCUGAGGCGCGAAAGCCAGGGGAGCAAACGGG